Molecule: ribosomal RNA, 253 nt
Filed under: uncultured bacterium
Lineage: Bacteria
Description: partial 16S ribosomal RNA
Rfam family: Bacterial small subunit ribosomal RNA
Source: RNAcentral
GACAGAGGUCCCGAGCGUUAGGCGGAAUCACUGGGCUUAAAGCGUGUGUAGGCGGAUCGUUAAGUGCCUUGUGAAAUCCGAUGGCUUAACCAUGGAACUGCUUGGCAUACUGGCGGUCUUGAGCCACUUAGGGGCAACCGGAACAAAUGGUGGAGCGGUGAAAUGCGUAGAUAUCAUUUGGAACGCCAAUGGUGAAAACAGGUUGCUGGGAGUGUGCUGACGCUGAGACACGAAAGCCAGGGGAGCGAACGGG